CUNGCUUNCCAUGCAGUCGAGCGAUGAGCGCCCUUCAGAGUUACUGUAGCGGCGAACGGGUGAGUAACCCGUGUAUAACCUGCCCCUGACUCUGGGAUAAGCCUGGGAAACCGGGGCUAAUACCGGAUACGACCUUCAUCCGCAUGGGGUGGGGGGGGAAAGUUUUUCGGUUGGGGAUGGGCUCGCCCUUUAACUUAUUGUUGGUGGGGUGAUGGCCUACCAAGGCGACGACGGGUAGCCGGCCUGAGAGGGCGACCGGCCACACUGGGACUGAGACACGGUCCAUCUACAUACCGGAGGCAGCACUGGGGAAUAUUGCACAAUGGGCGGAAGCCUGACGCAGCGACGCCGCGUGGGGGAUGACGGCCUUCGGGUUGUAAACCUCUUUCGGCAGGGACGAAGUUGACGUGUACCUGUAGAACAAGCGCCGGCUAACUACGUGCCAGCAGCCGCGGUAAUACGUAGGGCGCAAGCGUUGUCCGGAAUUAUUGGGCGUAAAGAGCUCGUAGGUGGCUUGUCGCGUCUGCCGUGAAAGCCCGUGGCUUAACUACGGGUCUGCGGUGGAUACGGGCAGGCUAGAGGCUGGUAGGGGUAAGUGGAAUUCCUGGUGUAGCGGUGAAAUGCGCAGAUAUCAGGAGGAACACCGGUGGCGAAGGCGGCUUGCUGGGCCAGUUCUGACGCUGAGGAGCGAAAGCGUGGGGAGCGAACAGGAUUAGAUACCCUGGUAGUCCACGCUGUAAACGUUGGGCGCUAGGUGUGGGGGUCUUCCAUGGUUCCUGUGCCGUAGCUAACGCAUUAAGCGCCCCGCCUGGGGAGUACGGCCGCAAGGCUAAAACUCAAAGGAAUUGACGGGGGCCCGCACAAGCGGCGGAGCAUGUUGCUUAUUUCGACGCAACGCGAAGAACCUUACCAAGGUUUGACAUACACCGGGACGCGCU
Molecule: ribosomal RNA, 938 nt
Filed under: Sphaerimonospora mesophila
Lineage: Bacteria; Bacillati; Actinomycetota; Actinomycetes; Streptosporangiales; Streptosporangiaceae
Description: bacterial SSU rRNA
Rfam family: Bacterial small subunit ribosomal RNA
Source: RNAcentral